Molecule: ribosomal RNA, 593 nt
Filed under: Clonostachys setosa
Lineage: Eukaryota; Fungi; Ascomycota; Sordariomycetes; Hypocreales; Bionectriaceae
Description: eukaryotic LSU rRNA
Rfam family: Eukaryotic large subunit ribosomal RNA
Source: RNAcentral
UUGACCUCAGAUCAGGUAGGAAUACCCGCUGAACUUAAGCAUAUCAAUAAGCGGAGGAAAAGAAACCAACAGGGAUUGCCCUAGUAACGGCGAGUGAAGCGGCAACAGCUCAAAUUUGAAAUCUGGCGCAAGCCCGAGUUGUAAUUUGUAGAGGAUGUUUCUGGCGAAGUGCCUUCCGAGUUCCCUGGAACGGGACGCCAUAGAGGGUGAGAGCCCCGUACGGUUGGAUGCCUAGCCUCUGUGAAACUCCUUCGACGAGUCGAGUAGUUUGGGAAUGCUGCUCUAAAUGGGAGGUAUACGUCUUCUAAAGCUAAAUACCGGCCAGAGACCGAUAGCGCACAAGUAGAGUGAUCGAAAGAUGAAAAGCACUUUGAAAAGAGGGUUAAAUAGUACGUGAAAUUGUUGAAAGGGAAGCGUUUAUGACCAGACUUGGGCAGGUUGAUCAUCCGUGGUUCUCCGCGGUGCACUCUGCCUGCCCAGGCCAGCAUCAGUUCGCUUCGGGGGAUAAAGGCUUUGGGAAUGUGGCUCCUCCGGGAGUGUUAUAGCCCAUUGUGUAAUACCCUGAAGCGGACUGAGGUUCGCGCUCUGCAAGG